AUUGGUUGCCGUCCAAGAUUAGCUGGAUACAUAGAUCUGAGCUUGGGGAGCCGCAAGCGGCAUGAUGGUUGGAAGAGUAAGACGGGGACUGCUCACCUGGAGUUUUCCCAUUGACUUGUGAACGCUGCACACACACAUAAGGCAAGCCCCGCCCCCCGGCCGUUAAUAGGCUCUGAGUUCACCUUUACUGCCACACCCAGACACGGACUGUCUUCAUCUCUCAGGUAUGGCCAAGUGAGACAAGGACAAAAGAGCCAUUUGGUCUACCUGCCUCACCUAUCUUGGACUCCUGCAACAAAAUGAUUUGAGGCAAAGUCUUGGUCUAAUUAAUUGAUGAGCUAUAUGUAUAGAGUCUUUCUUGGGCCCUAUCUCCUAGUAAGGAAGCCCAGGCAGAUCAUAAAAAGUCACAUGGAGAAGAAUCAGGGGCCCUUCCCCUGACUGAGCUCUUAGUCGGCAGCUAAUUGCACUUCUCUGGCCGUAUGAGUGACUCAUCGUGAAGCAGGUCUUGGUGCUCCAGUGCAGCUGCCGAAGAUGGUCUCUCGGGAACAGUUACGGAUCUCCCACGUACCAGAUCCCUGUUCAAACUUCCCAACUCGUGUGAGGUGGCACAUUUGCAGACCCAGUAGUGAGGAAGCUGAGGCAGGAGAAGAAAGAAUUCAAGGCCAACCUAACCGACAGUGAGAGCUCCAGACCACCCAGGGAGAUGUAGUGGGAGCACCUGUCUCAAACAAAUACAAAGUAACAAACAACAACAACAAAAA
Molecule: long non-coding RNA, 761 nt
Filed under: Mus musculus (house mouse)
Lineage: Eukaryota; Metazoa; Chordata; Mammalia; Rodentia; Muridae
Description: predicted gene, 31786, transcript variant 2 (Gm31786)
Source: RNAcentral